GUUAUGAAAUAUUAUUCAAGUUAUUUUAUAUCUGGUUCUUUGAGAGAUUUAUUUGUUUGUGGGUUUAUUAGGUCAGUAGGUAGGGAUUAGCUUGUUUAUUGUUUAUAUACAUUUAUAAGGUAGAUUUGUUUGUGAAGUUGAUAGUGCUUGUUUUUAAGGAGUUAUUAUAAGACAGGAGGUUUAUAUUAUUGUUUUUUGGUUGUGUGAUUAUUGAGGUUAGUUGGUUAAUUUUUUUCUUUUGUGAAAUAAUGAUUAUAUUAGUAAUAUUUUAUUUAGUUUAAUUAAGUGUAGUUGAGGGGAGUUGAUAGUUAUCAGGUUAAUUUUUAAUUAGAGUAGAUGAACUCGGCAAGAUUAAUUUUUGACUGUUUAGCAAAAACAUUGUUUUUUGUAAGGAUAAGAAAUAAGUUCUGUCCACUGCUAUUAGGUGAAGGGCUGCAGUAUUUUGACUGUAUGAAGGUAGCAUAAUCAUUAGCUUUUUAAUUGGGGGCUGGUAUGAAGGUGAAACAGGGAUUGUCUGUGUUUUCUUUAUUUGUUGAAUUUUAUUUCUGUGUGAAAAAUCAUAGUUGAAUUAGAGGGACAAGAAGACCCUAAUAAGUUUUAUUUUUUUACUUGAUGAUAGUAUAGGUGUAUAUUUAUUUGAUUAGAGUUGGGGGGUUUGGCUGGGGCGGCUACUUAUUUAACGUAAGUAAUUUUUUAACUUUAUUUGGC
Molecule: ribosomal RNA, 708 nt
Filed under: Nannaria sp. MPE02900
Lineage: Eukaryota; Metazoa; Arthropoda; Diplopoda; Polydesmida; Xystodesmidae
Description: partial large subunit ribosomal RNA
Source: RNAcentral